Molecule: ribosomal RNA, 253 nt
Filed under: bacterium
Lineage: Bacteria
Also listed under: 3 other names
Description: partial 16S ribosomal RNA
Rfam family: Bacterial small subunit ribosomal RNA
Source: RNAcentral
UACGGAGGGUGCGAGCGUUAAUCGGAAUUACUGGGCGUAAAGCGUACGCAGGCGGUUUGUUAAGCGAGAUGUGAAAGCCCCGGGCUCAACCUGGGAACUGCAUUUCGAACUGGCAAACUAGAGUGUGAUAGAGGGUGGUAGAAUUUCAGGUGUAGCGGUGAAAUGCGUAGAGAUCUGAAGGAAUACCGAUGGCGAAGGCAGCCACCUGGGUCAACACUGACGCUCAUGUACGAAAGCGUGGGGAGCAAACGGG